Molecule: ribosomal RNA, 463 nt
Filed under: uncultured bacterium
Lineage: Bacteria
Description: bacterial SSU rRNA
Rfam family: Bacterial small subunit ribosomal RNA
Source: RNAcentral
CUACGGAAGGCAGCAGUGAGGAAUUUUGCGCAAUGGGGGAAACCCUGACGCAGCAACGCCGCGUGAGUGAUGAAGGCCUUCGGGUCGUAAAGCUCUGUCAGAGGGAAAGAGGUGUGUGGUGGCUAAUACCUGCUACACUUGACGGUACCCUCAAAGGAAGCACCGGCUAACUCCGUGCCAGCAGCCGUGGUAAUACGGAGGGUGCGAGCGUUGUUCGGAAUUAUUGGGCGUAAAGCGCGUGUAGGCGGUUUUUUAAGUCUGAUGUGAAAGCCCUGGGCCCAACCCGGGAAGUGCAUUGGAAACUGGGAGACUUGAAUACGGGAGAGGGUAGUGGAAUUACUAGUGUAGGAGUGAAAUCCGUAGAUAUUAGGAGGAACACCGGUGGCGAAGGCGGCUACCUGGACCGAUAUUGACGCUGAGACGCGAAAGCGUGGGGAGCAAACAGGAUUAGAUACCCUAGUAU